This 582-nucleotide long non-coding RNA is filed under the name Neogale vison (American mink). RNAcentral's name for it is "Neovison vison (American mink) lncRNA (ENSNVIG00000015446.1)". The record is from RNAcentral. Lineage: Eukaryota; Metazoa; Chordata; Mammalia; Carnivora; Mustelidae.
CUCCGCCCUCUCUCCAGCCGGCAACAGGCCAGCGACAGGGUCAUGCUGACCUUGCCCAUCUGAUAGCAAGUCCUGCCCUUGGGGUGUCUCCCAAAUGUCUCAGUGCAGAGCCCCGCCAGGUCCUGCCCCGGGGGGCCUUGGGGUCUGUCCCUGGGGGCUCAGGCCUCUCUCUGGCUGCACCCACGCCCCUCCCAGCGCCUUCAGGCUGAGCCGCCCUGCCCAGGGGCUCGGCCUUAAGCAUGGAUGCGCCUGUGGCUCAGGUACUCAGUGUUGCAGAAACUCUUCCCUCCCAUCCCGCACAUGAAAGACCCCAUCACUGACAACCUUCAGAACAGCAAGUUGGUGGCCUGGGAGGGCAGCAGAGCAAGCCGGGAAGACUGCCCGGUGGCAGAGGUGCAGGUUUUGGGGGAGACAUGACAACGGACCUGAGACCUUCUCGACCGGCCCAGAUGCCCACACAGCCUGGCUGCGGUUGGGCCGAGGGACGACCGGAUGGGGUGGGGGUAGGGACACCUCGGCGCGUGCUCCAUGGAGACGCCACCAGCAAGGAAGCAGGGCUGUGUCGGGCUCAUUCAAUAAAUC